RNAcentral lists this long non-coding RNA (668 nucleotides) under Anser brachyrhynchus (Pink-footed goose). Its description in RNAcentral is "lncRNA (ENSABRG00000014904.1)". The record is from RNAcentral. Lineage: Eukaryota; Metazoa; Chordata; Aves; Anseriformes; Anatidae.
AAUUAGGAAUGGAGUGGUUAGAUUUCACAAAUGUCCCUCUUUUGCAGGUCAUGUUUUUAGUUUUAUGAGAAUACUGUAUACCUGUAUAGACCCAUUUUUCUCAUACGGUAGUUGACAUCAAACUGCAUUAGGAGUAGAGUCAUCAGUCCUUAUAAGCUUUGUCAAUGGAGCACUGGAACAAUGAUAAUGGAGUGAGAUAGAUACAUUUCAGGUGUACUCCACCCACUUGAAAUUAGAGAUGUCCUUUAAACAUUACUGUAUUUUCUCCGUGGGUCUAUGUGCAACCAGAACGACUGUGUGACUCAUUAAGUUCUCUGAGCUGAUUUAUUUUCCAAGCAUGUGAGAAGAGGAAAAACAACGUAUCUGACUUCCAUCUCUACACUUCAUUUUAUAUCCCAUGAAAUGUUAGCUGCAGCCUUUCAGUUCCAAAGACUGUGGAGAUUUCCUACUACACACCCUGCACCUCGAAGAAAACACUACGUGGAUGCCUCUCUAAAGAAAAACGUCAAGAUUUGAAAUACAGUUUGCUGAGGCAAAUCAUGGACAAUCCCUGUUUGAAAAGCCAUCUUCUCAUCUGCUUCCCCAAGAACUCUACAUUCCUUAAAAAGAAAGUAAUAGGAGUUGUUUGGAAAGAAACAGUGAUAAAGCAACUCUUUUUAAUACAUGAA